GAUGAACGCUGGCGGCGUGCCUAAUACAUGCAAGUCGAGCGAACAGACGAGGAGCUUGCUCCUCUGCCGUUAGCGGCGGGCGGGUGAGUAACACAUGGAUAACCUUCCUAUAAUACUGGGGUAACUUCGGGAAACCGGAGCUAAUACCAGAUCAUAUAUUGAACCGCAUGGUUCAAUAGUGAAAGACGGUUUUGCUGUCACUUUUAGAUGGUUCCGCGUCGCAUUAGCUAGUUGGUAAGGUAACGGCUUACCAAGGCGACGAUGCGUAGCCGACCUGAGAGGAUGAUCGGCCACACUGGAACUGAGACACGGUCCAGACUCCUACGGGAGGCAGCAGUAGGGAAUCUUCCGCAAAGGGCGAAAGCCUGACGGAGCAACGCCGCGUGAGUGAUGAAGGUCUUCGGAUCGUAAAGCUCUGUUAUUAGGGAAGAACAAAUGUGUAAGUAACUAUGCACGUCUUGACGGUACCUAAUCAGAAAGCCACGGCUAACUACGUG
RNAcentral lists this ribosomal RNA (497 nucleotides) under uncultured bacterium. Its description in RNAcentral is "partial 16S ribosomal RNA". It matches the Rfam family "Bacterial small subunit ribosomal RNA", at positions 28 to 507 of the family's 1533-position model. The record is from RNAcentral.